GCGCCCUUAGCUCAGCCUGGAUAGAGCGUCUGGCUACGGACCAGAAGGCCGGGGGUUCGAAUCCCUCAGGGCGUA
This 75-nucleotide transfer RNA is filed under the name Oscillibacter sp. Its description in RNAcentral is "tRNA-Arg". It matches the Rfam family "tRNA". From Rfam's summary of the family: Transfer RNA (tRNA) molecules are approximately 80 nucleotides in length. Lineage: Bacteria; Bacillati; Bacillota; Clostridia; Eubacteriales; Oscillospiraceae. The record is from RNAcentral.